Molecule: small nucleolar RNA, 80 nt
Organism: Apteryx owenii (little spotted kiwi)
Lineage: Eukaryota; Metazoa; Chordata; Aves; Apterygiformes; Apterygidae
Source: Ensembl
CCCCUUUUGUGAUGAACUUUGCUUUGUGCCAUCGUGUCUGGGCCACUGAUGCUCUAUGAUGGUAGUGAGGAUCUGAGGGG